UAUUCCUGUGUGCAAUCCAUAGGUAAAGGCC
This 31-nucleotide non-coding RNA is filed under the name Mus musculus (house mouse). Lineage: Eukaryota; Metazoa; Chordata; Mammalia; Rodentia; Muridae. The record is from RNAcentral.